CCAAUAGCGUAUAUUAAAGUUGUUGCAGUUAAAAAGCUCGUAGUUGAAUUUCGGGGUUAGUAGGUUGGUCAUGCCUCUGGUAUGUACUGGUCUCACUGAUUCCUCCUUCCUGAUGAGCCGUAAUGCCAUUAAUUUGGUGUUGCGGGGAAUCUGGACUGUUACUUUGAGAAAAUUAGAGUGUUUAAAGCAAGCCAACGCUUGAAUACAUUAGCAUGGAAUAAUGAAAUAGGACGUUCGAUCCUAUUUUGUUGGUUUCUAGGAUUGACGUAAUGAUUAAUAGGGAUAGUUGGGGGCAUUAGUAUUCAAUUGUCAGAGGUGCAAUUCUUGGAUUUAUUGAAGACUAACUACUGCGAAAGCAUUUGCCAAGGAUGUUUUCAUUAAUCAAGAACGAAAGUUAGGGGAUCGAAGACGAUCAGAUACCGUCGUAGUCUUAACCAUAAACUAUGCCGACUAGGGAUCGGAUGAUGUUAAUUUUUUAAUGACUCAUUCGGCGCCUUACG
Molecule: ribosomal RNA, 500 nt
Filed under: uncultured Glomeromycotina
Lineage: Eukaryota; Fungi; Glomeromycota
Description: partial small subunit ribosomal RNA
Rfam family: Eukaryotic small subunit ribosomal RNA
Source: RNAcentral